GCGCGAAACCUUUACAAUGCACUAACGUGUGAUAAGGGGAUUCCAAGUGCUCAUACAUAGUAUGGGCUUUUUUAAAGAGUAAAUAUCUUUAAGAAUAAGUGGUGGGUAAGACUGGUGCCAGCCGCCGCGGUAACACCAGCGCCACGAGUGGGAGCCAUGUUUAUUGGGCCUAAAGCGUCCGUAGCCGGUUUAGUAAAUUUCUUGUGAAAUUAUCGGGCUUAACUCGAUAGCGUGCAGGAAAGACUGCUAGACUAGAGACCGGGAGGCGUGUGGGGUAUUCCUUGGGGAGCGGUAAAAUGUUAUAAUCCUUGGAAGACCACCUGUGGCGAAGGCGCCACACGAGCACGGAUCUGACGGUGAGGGACGAAAGCCAGGGGAGCGAUCCGGAUUAGAUACCCGAGUAGUCCUGGCCGUAAACGCUGCGAGCUAGGUGUUGCAUAUCCUUCGGGAAUAUGCAGUAUCGAAGCGAAGGUGAUAAGCUCGCCGCCUGGGGAGUACGGUCGCAAGGCUGAAACUUAAAGGAAUUGG
This 528-nucleotide ribosomal RNA is filed under the name uncultured euryarchaeote. Its description in RNAcentral is "bacterial SSU rRNA". It matches the Rfam family "Archaeal small subunit ribosomal RNA", at positions 339 to 868 of the family's 1478-position model. Lineage: Archaea; Methanobacteriati; Methanobacteriota. The record is from RNAcentral.